Molecule: transfer RNA, 74 nt
Filed under: Helicobacter suis HS5
Lineage: Bacteria; Pseudomonadati; Campylobacterota; Epsilonproteobacteria; Campylobacterales; Helicobacteraceae
Rfam family: tRNA
About the family: Transfer RNA (tRNA) molecules are approximately 80 nucleotides in length.
Source: Rfam by way of RNAcentral
GCGCUUGUAGCUCAGUUGGAUAGAGCAACGGCCUUCUAAGCCGUAGGCCGCAGGUUCGAGUCCUGCCAAGCGUA